CGUCGAGCUAAACUUUCUUUGAAAAAAUCAGACGCAGAAAAGAGCCUAGUUGGGUGGUGGUCAAUUAGAGAGAGAGUGACGAAAAAUGGUACUGCAGUGUUGGAGUUACGCUUCUUAUCCAAAAUCGACUGCGCUGUUCUCUCAUAACUUUUUGUUAUCUCUUUCAGAUUCCAAACCCCACCACCAAUCUUGCAAUUACAAUGCCAAUUAUAAGUUCAGUCUUCCUCUUCUUGGAAUGCCCAGCAAGUCAUGUAAGACAAGCACCAGUAGUAAAUUCAGUUGCUUCCUCAACGUGGGUCUUGAGGAUAUUGCUGGAAUCGCUCAAAACAAGGUAUUGAUUGCAGCUGGUGUGUCAGCAGCCAUUGGUCAGCUCUCCAAGCCAUUCACUUCUGUACUUCUAUAUGGCAAAGACUUUGAUUUCAAAGCUGCGUUUCGGGCCGGUGGAUUCCCUUCCACCCAUUCUUCUGUAUGUUUUUGUCCGUUUCCUUUUUACUAUAUACAUGUAUACAUUUUUUUAAAUUUUGUAGCUGCUUACUGUCAAUUGAUUGUUUUCACAAAGGCUGUUGUUUCUACUGCUACAUGUCUUGCUCUCGAAAGGUAAUCUGCUCUUACUAUUUUAUUUUGACCUUUAUGUUUUAAAUCAAUUUGACUGUUUUUUUAUUAUAAGCUGUAUGAAUCAAUAAGCUUUUACGUGUUAAUCGUUCCAUUAUUUUAUUGCAGGGGCUUCUCUGAUUCAAUUUUUGGCCUAUCAGUGGUUUAUGCUGGACUUGUCAUGUAUGACUCUCAGAUCCACCAUUGCUUGUUUCCUUACUAACGUAAUCGCAGUUCCAUAUGGGGGCAUUUAAUUUUCUAUGUUAGACAUGACUGGACAAUCUUAAUCAACCCUCUUAAUCCAUUUUUCCUAUGAAGUACAGAUUACGAAAAGCCCAGGGGGUGAGAAGAGAAGUUGGAAAUCAUGCCAAAGUACUAAACAAGCAGCUAUCCAAUACCCAAGUCAAGUCGAUGGCCUCCACGGGUAGAGAUGAUAUGAUUGAUUCUCAACAGGGAAUUUCAUCCACAUUAGGGGAAGACCUCAGUCCUCUAUUAUCGAAGGAGGGAAGAAGACCUUUUGUGCAAAAAUCGACAAAUGCACCUUUGUUAGUUAAUUCAGAAAAUAAAAAUAGACAAGCUAGUCAGGUGCUGGUAUCUUCAAGCAUAGCAUCUGAUGAAGAAGAAACCGAAAAACCUUUGAAUAGUUCAUCUCUGUUGAAAGAAUCGAUUGGCCACACAGAGGUUGAAGUCAUAGCAGGUGCAUUGCUAGGUUUCUGUGUAAGUUUGGCAGUGCAUACAAUUGUGUGAUUUUUUGUUUCAAUUACUCCUGCGGCAGCAGAUGGGUUUGAGUGGUUCUUCUUUAGAUUGAACCCUACAUCAGCACCCAAAUCUUACUGCUCCUUAACACUGUAUUCAUGCCCAGGUGGGCAGUUCCAUUUUUCUAACUGUUUUAGGUUAAAAUUUGAUGGACUCCAAACAUUAUGGAUGUUGUAUUAUAAAAUUAUCUUUACAAUCUACUUAAGUAUGUGAUUAAUUGUAAACUUCGUAUGGUAUGUUCCCAUGAUGUCUUUGUAGUUAAGCUAUGAUUGGCCACCGGAUAUGAAUUAUGUUGCACAACGCGUAUUAAAUUAUUCAUAGAGCUUUGCAUAGGCUUAUAAUGUUUUGUUUUUUUUCCGCUGUCAAGGGUGAGCAAAAUUCAAUUCAGUUCAUAUAAAAAAAAAAAAAUUAACUGAAUUCAUUUAAUUUAGAAAUUUAAUUUAUUUUUUAA
This 1798-nucleotide unclassified non-coding RNA is filed under the name Hevea brasiliensis (rubber tree). Lineage: Eukaryota; Viridiplantae; Streptophyta; Magnoliopsida; Malpighiales; Euphorbiaceae. The record is from RNAcentral.